GAUGAACGCUGGCGGCGUGCCUAAUACAUGCAAGUCGAGCGAACAGACGAGGAGCUUGCUCCUCUGACGUUAGCGGCGGACGGGUGAGUAACACGUGGAUAACCUACCUAUAAGACUGGGAUAACUUCGGGAAACCGGAGCUAAUACCGGAUAAUAUAUUGAACCGCAUGGUUCAAUAGUGAAAGACGGUUUUGCUGUCACUUAUAGAUGGAUCCGCGCCGCAUUAGCUAGUUGGUAAGGUAACGGCUUACCAAGGCGACGAUGCGUAGCCGACCUGAGAGGGUGAUCGCCCACACUGGAACUGAGACACGGUCCAGACUCCUACGGGAGGCAGCAGUAGGGAAUCUUCCGCAAUGGGCGAAAGCCUGACGGAGCAACGCCGCGUGAGUGAUGAAGGUCUUCGGAUCGUAAAACUCUGUUAUUAGUGAAGAACAAAUGUGUAAGUAACUAUGCACGUCUUGACGGUACCUAAUCAGAAAGCCACGGCUAACUACGUG
This 497-nucleotide ribosomal RNA is filed under the name uncultured bacterium. Its description in RNAcentral is "partial 16S ribosomal RNA". It matches the Rfam family "Bacterial small subunit ribosomal RNA", at positions 28 to 507 of the family's 1533-position model. The record is from RNAcentral.